RNAcentral lists this ribosomal RNA (465 nucleotides) under uncultured bacterium. RNAcentral's name for it is "partial 16S ribosomal RNA". It matches the Rfam family "Bacterial small subunit ribosomal RNA", at positions 28 to 507 of the family's 1533-position model. The record is from RNAcentral.
GACGAACGCUGGCGGCGUGCUUAACACAUGCAAGUCGAACGGAAAGGCCCCCUUGUGGGGUACUCGAGUGGCGAACGGGUGAGUAACACGUGAGUAACCUACCCUUGACUUUGGGAUAACUUCAGGAAACUGGGGCUAAUACCGGAUAGGAGCUCCUGCUGCAUGGUGGGGGUUGGAAAGUUUCGGCGGUUGGGGUUGGACUCGCGGCUUAUCAGCUUGUUGGUGGGGUAGUGGCUCACCAAGGCUUUGACGGGUAGCCGGCCUGAGAGGGUGACCGGCCACAUUGGGACUGAGAUACGGCCCAGACUGCUACGGGAGGCAGCAGUGGGGAAUAUUGCACAAUGGGCGGAAGCCUGAUGCAGCAGCGCCGCGUGCGGGAUGACGGCCUUCGGGUUGUAAACCGCUUUCGCCUGUGACGAAGCGUGAGUGACGGUAAUGGGUAAAGAAGCACCGGCUAACUACGUG